Molecule: ribosomal RNA, 465 nt
Filed under: uncultured bacterium
Lineage: Bacteria
Description: partial 16S ribosomal RNA
Rfam family: Bacterial small subunit ribosomal RNA
Source: RNAcentral
CCUACGGGUGGCAGCAGUGGGGAAUAUUGCGCAAUGGGCGAAAGCCUGACGCAGCGACGCCGCGUGAGGGAUGAAGGUCUUCGGAUCGUAAACCUCUGUCACCAGGGAAGAACGGUCACUGUGCUAAUCAGCAGUGAAUUGACGGUACCUGCAAAGGAAGCACCGGCUAACUCCGUGCCAGCAGCCGCGGUAAUACGGAGGGUGCGAGUGUUAAUCGGAAUUACUGGGCGUAAAGCGCUCGUAGGCGGUAUGUCAAUUCAAGGGUGAAAUCCCCGCGCUCAACGUGGGACCCGCCUUUGAAACUGGCAAACUGGAGUGUGUGAGAGGAUAGUGGAAUUCCAGGUGGAGGAGUGAAAGCCGUAGAUAUCUGGAGGAACAUCAGGGGCGAAGGCGACUAUCUGGCACAUAACUGACGCUGAGGGGCGAAAGCGUGGGUAGCAAACAGGAUUAGAUACCCUAGUAGUC